This 78-nucleotide small RNA is filed under the name Flavobacterium urumqiense. RNAcentral describes it as "Flavo-1 RNA". It matches the Rfam family "Flavo-1 RNA". Lineage: Bacteria; Pseudomonadati; Bacteroidota; Flavobacteriia; Flavobacteriales; Flavobacteriaceae. The record is from RNAcentral.
CCUUAGCCCGGAUAGCAGUGUAAAUCCUUAUGAGCCGGGUUUCGGCGAUUAAGAUUGCAACGGAUAGCUGGAAUUAGC